GACAGAGGGUGCAAACGUUGUUCGGAAUUACUGGGCGUAAAGCGCGUGUAGGCGGCUAAGUAAGUCGGGCGUGAAAUCCCACGGCUCAACCGUGGAAGUGCACUCGAAACUGCGUAGCUAGAGUCCUGGAGAGGAAGGUGGAAUGCUUGGUGUAGAGGUGAAAUUCGUAGAUAUUCGCAAGAACACCAGUGGCGAAGGCGGCUCACUGGCCCGAUACUGACGCUGAGGUGCGAAAGCGUGGGGAGCAAACAGG
RNAcentral lists this ribosomal RNA (253 nucleotides) under uncultured bacterium. Its description in RNAcentral is "partial 16S ribosomal RNA". It matches the Rfam family "Bacterial small subunit ribosomal RNA", at positions 524 to 776 of the family's 1533-position model. The record is from RNAcentral.